AAGUCGUAACAAGGUUUCCGUAGGUGAACCUGCGGAAGGAUCAUUCAUAAUUGAGUGUUUUAUGGCACUCUUUAAAAAAAUCCAUAUCCACCUUGUGUGCAAUGUUUUUGGACUCUCUGUACGUUGAUAUCUCUUUGGGUCCGAUAGGACUUUAGGGGAAGGAAAACCUUAAGAGGGUUUGAUUAACUUAACACCUUUAAAGCAGUUUGUCUGAAUAUCUAUUUCUGAAUAAACAUAAUUCAAAAAUACAACUUUCAACAACGGAUCUCUUGGCUCUC
RNAcentral lists this unclassified non-coding RNA (278 nucleotides) under Mortierella oligospora. Its description in RNAcentral is "partial internal transcribed spacer region". The stretch from base 1 to 46 matches the Rfam family "Eukaryotic small subunit ribosomal RNA", at positions 1786 to 1831 of the family's 1831-position model. Lineage: Eukaryota; Fungi; Mortierellomycota; Mortierellomycetes; Mortierellales; Mortierellaceae. The record is from RNAcentral.